UACGAAGGGGGCUAGCGUUGUUCGGAAUCACUGGGCGUAAAGGGCGCGUAGGCGGCUUUAUAAGUCGGGGGUGAAAGCCUGUGGCUCAACCACAGAAUUGCCUUCGAUACUGUAGAGCUUGAGACCGGAAGAGGUAAGUGGAACUGCGAGUGUAGAGGUGAAAUUCGUAGAUAUUCGCAAGAACACCAGUGGCGAAGGCGGCUUACUGGUCCGGAACUGACGCUGAGGCGCGAAAGCGUGGGGGAGCAAACAGG
Molecule: ribosomal RNA, 254 nt
Filed under: uncultured bacterium
Lineage: Bacteria
Description: partial 16S ribosomal RNA
Rfam family: Bacterial small subunit ribosomal RNA
Source: RNAcentral